RNAcentral lists this ribosomal RNA (254 nucleotides) under uncultured bacterium. Its description in RNAcentral is "partial 16S ribosomal RNA". It matches the Rfam family "Bacterial small subunit ribosomal RNA", at positions 524 to 776 of the family's 1533-position model. The record is from RNAcentral.
UACGGAGGGGGCUAGCGUUGUUCGGAAUUACUGGGCGUAAAGGGCGCGUAGGCGGCCACGACAAGUCACUUGUGAAAUCUCCGGGCUUAACUCGGAACGGUCAAGUGAUACUGUCGGGCUAGAGUACAGAAGGGGCAACUGGAAUUCUCGGUGUAGCGGUGAAAUGCGUAGAUAUCGAGAGGAACACCUGCGGCGAAGGCGGGUUGCUGGGCUGAUACUGACGCUGAUGCGCGAAAGCCAGGGGAGCGAACGGG